This 384-nucleotide ribosomal RNA is filed under the name uncultured bacterium. RNAcentral's name for it is "bacterial SSU rRNA". It matches the Rfam family "Bacterial small subunit ribosomal RNA", at positions 123 to 541 of the family's 1533-position model. The record is from RNAcentral.
AACGUGCCCUUCUCUACGGAAUAGCCUCUGGAAACGGAGAGUAAUACCGUAUACGCCCUUUGGGGGAAAGAUUUAUCGGAGAAGGAUCGGCCCGCGUUAGAUUAGGUAGUUGGUGGGGUAAUGGCCUACCAAGCCUACGAUCUAUAGCUGGUUUUAGAGGAUGAUCAGCAACACUGGGACUGAGACACGGCCCAGACUCCUACGGGAGGCAGCAGUGGGGAAUCUUAGACAAUGGGGGCAACCCUGAUCUAGCCAUGCCGCGUGAGUGAUGAAGGCCUUAGGGUCGUAAAGCUCUUUCGCCUGUGAUGAUAAUGACAGUAGCAGGUAAAGAAACCCCGGCUAACUCCGUGCCAGCAGCCGCGGUAAUACGGAGGGGGUUAGCGU